RNAcentral lists this ribosomal RNA (274 nucleotides) under uncultured bacterium. RNAcentral describes it as "partial 16S ribosomal RNA". It matches the Rfam family "Bacterial small subunit ribosomal RNA", at positions 523 to 796 of the family's 1533-position model. The record is from RNAcentral.
AUACGGAGGGUGCAAGCGUUAAUCGGAAUUACUGGGCGUAAAGGGCGCGUAGGUGGUUUAAGAGGUUGGAUGUGAAAGCCCUGGGCUUAACCUGGGAAUGGCAUCCAAUACGUUUAGACUAGAGUACAUCAGAGGUAAGUGGAAUUUCCGGUGUAGCGGUGAAAUGCGUAGAUAUCGGAAGGAACACCAGUGGCGAAGGCGGCUUACUGGGCUGAUACUGACACUGAUGCGCGAAGGCGUGGGGAGCAAACAGAAGUAGAAACCCCAGUAGUCC